RNAcentral lists this ribosomal RNA (1170 nucleotides) under Ligilactobacillus acidipiscis. Its description in RNAcentral is "bacterial SSU rRNA". It matches the Rfam family "Bacterial small subunit ribosomal RNA", at positions 194 to 1352 of the family's 1533-position model. Lineage: Bacteria; Bacillati; Bacillota; Bacilli; Lactobacillales; Lactobacillaceae. The record is from RNAcentral.
CGGCCGGGCAAAGACGGCGUCAGCUGUCGCUUUUGGAUGAGCCCGCGGCGUAUUAACUAGUUGGUAAGGUAACGGCUUACCAAGGUGAUGAUACGUAGCCGAACUGAGAGGUUGAUCGGCCACAUUGGGACUGAGACACGGCCCAAACUCCUACGGGAGGCAGCAGUAGGGAAUCUUCCACAAUGGACGCAAGUCUGAUGGAGCAACGCCGCGUGUAUGAAGAAGGUCUUCGGAUCGUAAAAUACUGUUGUCAGAGAAGAACACGUGAUAGAGUAACUGCUAUGGCGCUGACGGUAUCUGACCAGCAAGUCACGGCUAACUACGUGCCAGCAGCCGCGGUAAUACGUAGGUGGCAAGCGUUGUCCGGAUUUAUUGGGCGUAAAGGGAACGCAGGCGGUCUUUUAAGUCUGAUGUGAAAGCCUUCGGCUUAACCGGAGAAGUGCAUUGGAAACUGGAAGACUUGAGUGCAGAAGAGGAGAGUGGAACUCCAUGUGUAGCGGUGAAAUGCGUAGAUAUAUGGAAGAACACCAGUGGCGAAAGCGGCUCUCUGGUCUGUAACUGACGCUGAGGUUCGAAAGCGUGGGGAGCGAACAGGAUUAGAUACCCUGGUAGUCCACGCUGUAAACGAUGAAUGCUAGGUGUUGGAGGGUUUCCGCCCUUCGGUGCCGCAGCUAACGCACUAAGCAUUCCGCCUGGGGAGUACGAUCGCAAGAUUGAAACUCAAAGGAAUUGACGGGGGCCCGCACAAGCGGUGGAGCAUGUGGUUUAAUUCGAAGCAACGCGAAGAACCUUACCAGGUCUUGACAUCUUUUGACCAUCUGAGAGAUCAGAAAUUCCCUUCGGGGACAAAAUGACAGGUGGUGCAUGGCUGUCGUCAGCUCGUGUCGUGAGAUGUUGGGUUAAGUCCCGCAACGAGCGCAACCCUUAUUGUCAGUUGCCAGCAUUCAGUUGGGCACUCUGGCGAGACUGCCGGUGACAAACCGGAGGAAGGUGGGGAUGACGUCAAGUCAUCAUGCCCCUUAUGACCUGGGCUACACACGUGCUACAAUGGACGAUACAACGAGUCGCGAGACCGCGAGGUUUAGCUAAUCUCUGAAAGUCGUUCUCAGUUCGGAUCGUAGGCUGCAACUCGCCUACGUGAAGUCGGAAUCGCUAGUAAUCGCGGAUCAG